This 468-nucleotide ribosomal RNA is filed under the name uncultured bacterium. RNAcentral's name for it is "partial 16S ribosomal RNA". It matches the Rfam family "Bacterial small subunit ribosomal RNA", at positions 28 to 507 of the family's 1533-position model. The record is from RNAcentral.
GACGAACGCUGGCGGCGUGCUUAACACAUGCAAGUCGAACGGAAGGGCCCUGCUUUUGUGUGGUGCUCGAGUGGCGAACGGGUGAGUAACACGUGAGUAACCUGCCCUUGACUUUGUGAUAACUUCAGGCAACUGGUGCUAAUACCUGAUAGGAGCGCCUGCUGCAUGGUGGGGGUUGGAAAGUUUCGGCGGUGGGGGAUGGACUCGCGGCUUAUCAGCUUGUUGGUUGGGUAGUGGCUUACCAAGGCUUUGACGGGUAGCCGGCCUGAGAGGGUGACCGGCCACAUUGGGACUGCGAUACGGCCCAGACUCCUACGGGAGGCAGCAGUGGGGAAUAUUGCACAAUGGGCGGAAGCCUGAUGCAGAAACGCCGCGUGCGGGAUGACGGCCUUCGGGUUGUAAACCGCUUUCGCCUGUGACGAAGCGUGAGUGACGGUAAUGGGUAAAGAAGCACCGGCUAACUACGUG